CAGCAGCCGCGGGAAUACGUAGGGUGCGAGCGUUGUCCGGAAUUACUGGGCGUAAAGGGCUCGUAGGUGGUUUGUCGCGUCGUCUGUGAAAUUCUGGGGCUUAACUCCGGGCGUGCAGGCGAUACGGGCAUAACUUGAGUGCUGUAGGGGUAACUGGAAUUCCUGGUGUAGCGGUGAAAUGCGCAGAUAUCAGGAGGAACACCGAUGGCGAAGGCAGGUUACUGGGCAGUUACUGACGCUGAGGAGCGAAAGCAUGGGUAGCGAACAGGAUUAGAUACCCCUGUAGUCCCUGUCUCUUAUA
RNAcentral lists this ribosomal RNA (301 nucleotides) under uncultured bacterium. RNAcentral's name for it is "partial 16S ribosomal RNA". It matches the Rfam family "Bacterial small subunit ribosomal RNA", at positions 509 to 808 of the family's 1533-position model. The record is from RNAcentral.